GUGCACGCUGGCGGUAGGCCUAACACAUGCAAGUCGAACGGCAGCACAGUAAGAGCUUGCUCUUACGGGUGGUGAGUGGCGGAAGGGUGAGGAAUACAUCGGAAUCUACUUUUUCGUGGGGGAUAACGUAGGGAAACUUACGCUAAUACCGCAUACGACCUACGGGUGAAAGCAGGGGAUCUUCGGACCUUGCGCGAUUGAAUGAGCCGAUGUCGGAUUAGCUAGUUGGCGGGGUAAAGGCCCACCAAGGCGACGAUCCGUAGCUGGUCUGAGAGGAUGAUCAGCCACACUGGAACUGAGACACGGUCCAGACUCCUACGGGAGGCAGCAGUGGGGAAUAUUGGACAAUGGGCGCAAGCCUGAUCCAGCCAUACCGCGUGGGUGAAGAAGGCCUUCGGGUUGUAAAGCCCUUUUGUUGGGAAAGAAAAGCAGCAGGUUAAUACCCCGCUGUUCUGACGGUACCCAAAGAAUAAGCACCGGCUAACUUCGUG
RNAcentral lists this ribosomal RNA (491 nucleotides) under uncultured bacterium. Its description in RNAcentral is "partial 16S ribosomal RNA". It matches the Rfam family "Bacterial small subunit ribosomal RNA", at positions 29 to 507 of the family's 1533-position model. The record is from RNAcentral.